This 455-nucleotide ribosomal RNA is filed under the name uncultured bacterium. RNAcentral's name for it is "bacterial SSU rRNA". It matches the Rfam family "Bacterial small subunit ribosomal RNA", at positions 355 to 830 of the family's 1533-position model. The record is from RNAcentral.
UAACGAAUAUUCCGCAAUGGACGAAAGUCUGACGGAGCGACGCCGCGUGCAGGAAGAAGUCCUUCGGGAUGUAAACUGCUGUCAGGGGUGAGGAACACAAUGACCAGCCCCGGAGGAAGUACCGGCUAACUCCGUGCCAGCAGCCGCGGUAAUACGGAGGGUACAAGCGUUGUUCGGAAUCACUGGGCUUAAAGGGCGUGUAGGCGGGAUGCAGGGUGUUGGGUGAAAUCCUCGGGCUCACCCGAGAACUGCCCAGCAAACCGGCAUUCUUGAGGCAGGUAGAGGUGACUGGAACGAUGGGUGGAGCGGUGAAAUGCGUAGAUAUCCAUUGGAACGCCGGUGGCGAAAGCGGGUCACUGGGCCUGUCCUGACGCUGAUACGCGAAAGCGUGGGUAGCAACAGGAUAGAUACCCUGGUAGUCCACGCCGUAACGAUGCGCACUGGGUAUGAGGGAC